CGUCUCCCGUCCUCGGGCUCCGCCCCGCGGCCAUGGCCCCAGCUACACCCGAGCGGCCAAGCUGAGCAGCGCAGCCCUGCCACCAGUGCUCAUGAGAAGCUGGGUGUCCACAGGCGUCGGGGCCUCCUCCCACCCCGGCCACCCCGCGUCUGUGCCACAGGAUGUGCUGCCCUUCCAGGACUUUCUGGCUCCUUUAAGCCUGGAGUGUCUGAUGCAGAUGAAGAAAUUGUGGCAUAGAGAAGUUGAGUAACUUGCCUAAAGUCACCCAGCAACUCUGAAUUCCAGACUCCACCAUGCUGUCUCUCAUCGUUUGGGAAGCCUCACCCAGUGACUCAGGCACAGACAGUGGAUGUGUGUGCUGCAAAGUAAAGAAUGUCCCCAGGCUCCUCUGACUCCCCCAAAGCUCACCCGACACCUCUCACAGAUCGUGUCCUGCUCCGUGAAUGGAGGGCCAGGAGAUUCCCAAGAACCUUCCUUCUCUGACCUUGUUGGUUCUGCAAAGUGGACAGUGAGGGAGGAGACAGGCUACUCAAAGUUCUGCAAAACUCAGGGAGAGUCAGAGUUCUCCAGGGCAACAUGGUCCUGAACCAGAAGCCAGUGUAGACACAGGCCAGUCAGAUGGCACUCACACUGGCUUCCCACUCCCUACCCUUUUGGCAUGGAGAGGGUCCCAGGAAGAGAUCACAAGACCCACCGCUCUUCUGAAACCUGGAGGUG
Molecule: long non-coding RNA, 717 nt
Organism: Capra hircus (goat)
Lineage: Eukaryota; Metazoa; Chordata; Mammalia; Artiodactyla; Bovidae
Exons: 3
Source: RefSeq, a predicted model, not a curated record